This 176-nucleotide microRNA precursor is filed under the name Oryza nivara. RNAcentral's name for it is "MIR812 microRNA precursor family". It matches the Rfam family "MIR812 microRNA precursor family". Lineage: Eukaryota; Viridiplantae; Streptophyta; Magnoliopsida; Poales; Poaceae. The record is from Rfam by way of RNAcentral.
AAAAAGACAAACCAUAAGUCCUCGUGUCCAACUUUGACUGUUAGUCUUAUAUAAAAUUUUUUUAUAAUUCGUAUUUUUAUUGUUGUUAGAUGAUAAAAGACUUGUCUUUUUAAUUUUUUUUCAUAUUUUUUUUAAAUAAAACGGAUGGUUAAACGUUGGACACGAAAAUCAGGGUU